AUGUCUAAUGUUUUUUCGCCUGGGGAAUUAAUCGGACUAUUGCGAGCGGAACGAGCAGGGCGAGCUUUGGAUGAAUCGGUCUAUUAUCGGGCAAUCUUAUUGGGAAUAACAAGGGCUUCCCUGAAUACCCAAAGUUUCAUAUCUGAAGCAAGUUUUCAAGAAACUGCUCGAGUUUUAGCAAAAGCUGCCCUACGAGGUCGCAUUGAUUGGUUGAAAGGCUUGAAAGAAAACGUAGUUCUGGGGGGGAUUAUACCUGUUGGUACCGGAUUCCAAAAAUUUGUGCAUCGUUCCCCACAAGACAAGAACCUUUAUUUCGAAAAAAAAAAUCUAUUCGCGUCGGAAAUGAGAGAUUUUUUGUUUCUCCAUACAGAAUUAGUUUCUUCAGAUUCGGACGUAACAAACAAUUUUUAUGAGACAUAA
This 420-nucleotide ribosomal RNA is filed under the name Triticum aestivum (bread wheat). RNAcentral describes it as "partial small subunit ribosomal RNA". Lineage: Eukaryota; Viridiplantae; Streptophyta; Magnoliopsida; Poales; Poaceae. The record is from RNAcentral.